RNAcentral lists this long non-coding RNA (614 nucleotides) under Gallus gallus (chicken). Its description in RNAcentral is "lncRNA (ENSGALG00010009350.1)". Lineage: Eukaryota; Metazoa; Chordata; Aves; Galliformes; Phasianidae. The record is from RNAcentral.
CAGAUGUGAAACUCAGCAGGAUGUGAAACCAGUCAAGAAUUUGGAAGCAUUAUCUUAUUCUUGGGAAUUCUUAGAGAGGUUAACGGAAUGAAGACCCAGGCUCUAUUCCUGGUCCACAAAGUACGUUACAAACGGAUAUCAAAUGCUUGUAAGUGUUGUAAGUGUUCAUUAAGGAAUAUUUAGGAAUACUUUUCAUCUGAGAUAUCAAAGAGAAAAAUGUUUGAUGUUGUGCAGAGAUCUUCCUGAACUUUGGACAGCAGAAUUCAGGCAUCAUCAGACUGCAUUUGAAUUACCUCUGAAAUAACAGUAGAGGUUAAAUUGCCGUUUUCAGCUGACUCAUCACGUUCAAAGCUGUGAUUCUGCUGAUGAAACCUUUGUAUUUAAGUGAAUGUAUCAUUAGAAGCAGAAACUACUGUAGCCUCAAACUUCCUCAUUUGAAGCAGACCUGAAGCAGAAAGAUAUGCAUUGACUGAACUGUUCUUGAAACAUUACCACUGCACUGGUAAUUUAUUCUGACUUUUUCUUGUUUUUGUUUUUGUUUUUUAAUUUUCCUUGUUUUCAAGUCCUCAGUCUGUUUUUCCUCAGUUGAUUAUGAAUUCCUGCCAAAUUCAACA